GACGAACGCUGGCGGCGUGCUUAACACAUGCAAGUCGAACGGAAAGGCCCUGCUUUUGUGGUGUGCUCGAGUGGCGAACGGGUGAGUAACACGUGAGUAACCUGCCCUUGACUUUGGGAUAACUUCAGGAAACUGGGGCUAAUACCGGAUAGGAGCUCCUGCUGCAUGGUGGGGGUUGGAAAGUUUCGGCGGUUGGGGAUGGACUCGCGGCUUAUCAGCUUGUUGGUGGGGUAGUGGCUUACCAAGGCUUUGACGGGUAGCCGGCCUGAGAGGGUGACCGGCCACAUGGGGACUGAGAGACGGCCCAGACGGCUACGGGAGACAGCAGUGGGAAAUAUGGCACAACGGGCGGGAGCCUGAUGCAGCAACGCCGCGUGCGGGAUGACGGCCUUCGGGGUGUAAACCGCUUUCGCCUGUGACGAAGCGUGAGUGACGGUAAUGGGUAAAGAAGCACCGGCUAACUACGUG
Molecule: ribosomal RNA, 468 nt
Filed under: uncultured bacterium
Lineage: Bacteria
Description: partial 16S ribosomal RNA
Rfam family: Bacterial small subunit ribosomal RNA
Source: RNAcentral